UGUUUCGGGAGUUUUUAAACAGAAAGGAAAUUUUCUUUUCUCCUCUUUCCAUAGGCGACAAGAAAACAUAUGCUGGCAGAGAUGAGACUGCACAAGAAGGAGACAUGGGUAUUCUCGAGAAAAUUAAGAAGGCUAUUUUUGGAUGAGCGUCUGCACCGUUUAGGCUUUAUAUUAAGGAAAAACUGCAAUGGAUGAUCCAAGUGGUUUAGUGAAACAAAUACGAACUGCGCUGGAUGAAGCUGUGGUAGAACCAGUAGAAGACCAAAAUAAUAACAAAGCGUAGUAUCUUAUUUCUUCGUUCCCUGAGAGACGUUGUAUUUUGGGCCCUAUUGCAGCCUGUUAGCUUCAUCUUUUGUUAAAACUGGCAUCAAUAAAUGAACAUGU
Molecule: long non-coding RNA, 384 nt
Organism: Rhipicephalus sanguineus (brown dog tick)
Lineage: Eukaryota; Metazoa; Arthropoda; Arachnida; Ixodida; Ixodidae
Exons: 2
Source: RefSeq, a predicted model, not a curated record